AUGUCCUUCCACGUCCUGCCGUUGCUACUGCUGCUGCAUCUAGUUGCCCGUCUCCCGGCGUCGACGCCGGCGCCGGCGGUGGUUACCCACCUGCCAGGAUUCGAUGGCCCUCUGCCCUUCCACCUCGAAACAGGGUACGUGGGCGUGGAGGAGGAGACCGGGACGGAGCUCUUCUACUACUUCGUGGAGUCGGAGAGGAGCCCCGGCACCGACCCCGUCAUCCUGUGGCUCACCGGCGGCCCCCGCUGCUCGGGCUUCUGCGGCAUGGUCUUCCAAGUCGGUCCUAUAAACUUUGUGGUGGCACCGUAUAACGGUAGCUUGCCGCAGCUUGUCUAUAACCCCUAUUCAUGGUCCAAGAUUGCAAGCAUCAUCUUUUUGGAUACUCCCGUUGGCGCUGGAUUCUCGUAUGCUCAUGAUCCCAAAGGUUACGAUGUUGGAGACAUAUCGUCUUCUUGGCAAGUUGUCACAUUUCUGGACAAGUGGUUCAGCGAUCACCCACGCUAUGCUUCAAAUCCUUUUUACAUUGGAGGAACUUCAUAUGCUGGAAAGGUUGUUCCACUUAUUGCACAAUACAUUUCACAAGGAAACGAACAAAGAAGGCAAGAUGAGAUUAAUCUCAAGGGCUAUUUAGUUGGCAACCCUAUUACAGGCUUAAGGUUUGAUGAUUUCAAUUCCAGAAUACCAUAUGGUCAUGGUGUUGGAAUCAUUUCUGAUCAACUAUAUGAGGCUGCAAUGGAGAAUUGUGAAGGUAACUAUGUAAGCCCAAUGAAUAAAAUGUGCGCUGUGGUUAUAAAUACCAUUGAAAAUCUCAUUUCUGAACUGUACGAAGAAUAUAUCUUGGGUGAUAGAUGUGUACAUGAUGCACCAAAACCUGUGAAGAAUGAUACUUCAAGAAAUAGGUUUCUGUCAGAAGAACAAUUUCAGCUAAGCAAAUCAUCUCCUCAUCCUACUAUCAAUUGUUUCAAUUACCGGUACUACCUGUCUAACAUUUGGGCAAAUGAUCACAGGACUAGAGAUGCUCUUAGGAUCAAGAAGGGAAAAAAUAUCUUCCUCAAAGAAUGCCUACAUAGUAAGGGAACCAUUGGCACGUGGGUAAGAUGCAUCAAAGGAUUCCCCUAUGCGUACGACGUUCCAAGUAGCAUAGAGUAUCAGUUCAACCUCACCACCAGGGGUUACCGUGCGCUUGUGUUCAGGUGA
This 1197-nucleotide ribosomal RNA is filed under the name Triticum aestivum (bread wheat). RNAcentral's name for it is "partial small subunit ribosomal RNA". Lineage: Eukaryota; Viridiplantae; Streptophyta; Magnoliopsida; Poales; Poaceae. The record is from RNAcentral.